AAUGGACCUAUGGGGAACAAAAGGGAAAAGAACUUGGAAUUAUUUGAGCUGGACAAGAAUUUGCUGCAGGGUGACCUCAUAAUCAUUUUCAACUGAUGAAAAGGUAUUAUAAGGAUAAUAGGUGUCAGAGAUGCAGGGUUCCAAUUAAUUAUUUUCCUCCUCACUUCCGGUUUUCAAACUUCCAGAACUACACUGAGAACAAACACAAUGAGGUGCCCAAUGGCUUGUGGGGAAGAAGACAUCCUUAUACAUUCCUGUAGAUGUUCCGGCUCUUUUUGGAAGCACUUUGGCAAUAUCUGUCAACAUCAAAAAUAUCUCUGUGUAUACACACCCAUACGUUCUUCUGGCUCAACAAUCCUACUUUGAGGCACUAUUCUAUAAAAUAAAAGCACCAACAUAUAAACAUG
Molecule: long non-coding RNA, 407 nt
Organism: Felis catus (domestic cat)
Lineage: Eukaryota; Metazoa; Chordata; Mammalia; Carnivora; Felidae
Exons: 2
Source: RefSeq, a predicted model, not a curated record